RNAcentral lists this ribosomal RNA (598 nucleotides) under uncultured bacterium. RNAcentral describes it as "partial 16S ribosomal RNA". It matches the Rfam family "Bacterial small subunit ribosomal RNA", at positions 355 to 935 of the family's 1533-position model. The record is from RNAcentral.
UGGGGAAUCUUCCGCAAUGGACGAAAGUCUGACGGAGCAACGCCGCGUGUAUGAUGAAGGUCUUCGGAUUGUAAAGUACUGUCAUUGGGGAAGAACGGUUUUCUUGAGAAUAUUGAGAAGACAUGACGGUACCCAAGGAGGAAGCCCCGGCUAACUACGUGCCAGCAGCCGCGGUAAUACGUAGGGGGCAAGCGUUGUCCGGAAUUAUUGGGCGUAAAGGGCGCGUAGGCGGGCCUUUAAGUCCGGUGUGAAAGAUCAGGGCUCAACCCUGAGAGUGCAUCGGAAACUGGAGGCCUUGAGGACAGGAGAGGAAAGUGGAAUUCCACGUGUAGCGGUGAAAUGCGUAGAUAUGUGGAGGAACACCAGUGGCGAAGGCGACUUUCUGGACUGUAACUGACGCUGAGGCGACGAAAGCGUGGGGAGCAAAACAGGAUUAGAUACCCUGGUAGUCCACGCCCGUAAAACGAUGAGUGCUAGGUGUAGAGGGUAUCGACCCCUUCUGUGCCGCAGUUAACACAAUAAGGCACUCCCGCCUGGGGAGUACGGCCNCAAGGUUUGAAACUCAAAAUGAAUUAACGGGGGUCAUAGCUAGGUUUUU